AUGGAUGUGGGAGCAUCAACUCCAUUCCUUUUGGCCACUGAGGAGUGGGAUAAAUUGUUAGAAUUCUAUGAAAGAUUACCAGGAGCUAGGAUGCAUGGAAAUUUUAUACGACAUGGUGGAGUGCCUCAAGAUCUGCCUCUUGGCUUCUGGAGAGAUAUUGAUUCCUCCACACAACAAUGUGCUUCCCUUGUCAACUUACCAAAAGAGAUCCUUUCCAAAGGUCGUACACUAUUGUUAAAUGUACAAACAAAGUAA
This 255-nucleotide ribosomal RNA is filed under the name Triticum aestivum (bread wheat). RNAcentral's name for it is "partial small subunit ribosomal RNA". The record is from RNAcentral. Lineage: Eukaryota; Viridiplantae; Streptophyta; Magnoliopsida; Poales; Poaceae.